CGUCGUUUUUUCUUACUUGGGGUUCGUAGGGUAUCUAUGAGGCAGUCAACGCGGGGCACAGCCCAGGCUCCGCGGAGCACAAUCACUGGGUCUCCGAAUGCCUCCAGGUGGACUAUCCCUCCCCAGGAAGCAACGCAGGUAACAGAUGGCUGGACUUUCAUAAAGAGCUGCUGCAAACACCUCGGGGCUGAGCCGGAUCAAGCAGCUGGGACUGGGGCCCCAUGCGGGGCGGGUGGUCACGUCUCAGGAGCGGACUCAGACCAGCCCCAAGAUCCUCCGGGUGGGCGGGGCCUGAGCCGGGCAGCUCCUCCCCGCCGGGGCGGGCUCACAAAGACGACUCCUCCUGACGGACGCGCCCACUCUCAGCCUUGGGGACGCCGGCGGAGAUGCUGCCUCGUGGGGUCUUGGCCCAACUUUUUAGGCCCAGCCUAAAGCCCCUCCUAAUUGGGUGGAGCGCGACUUGCUGAAGGGGUGGUUGCGGGAGAGGGGAGUUUCACUCUUGUUGCCCAGGCUGGAGUGCAAUGGCGCGAUCUCGGCUCACCACAACCUCCGCUUCACGGGUUCAAGUGAUUCUCCUGCCUCAGCCUCCCCAGUAGCUGGGAUUACAAGUAUGUGCCACCACCCCGGCUAAUUUUGUAUUUUUAGUAGAGACGGGGUUUCUCCAUGUUGGUCAGGCAGGUCUUGAACUCCUGACCUCAGUUGAUCAGCCCACCUCGGCCCCCUAAAGUGCCGGGAUUAUAGGCGUGAGCCACUGCACCAGGUCCAGAUUUAUUUCUGUUGUCUGCAAUUGAACUCUGACACAUGUAGCUUAAACAAAGAGGUGCUUGUUUUUAAUACAUGAUAAAAAGUUCAGGAAUAGGAAACUGUUGAUGUUGGUUAAGAAACUUGUCAGGGCCUUCUCUGGGAUUCUCUUGACUUUUCCUCCUUGGCACAAGAUGGCUGCUAAACCUCUAGCCAUCACAGCAAAAUGGGAUAGAUGCACCCUAUGGAAUUCUAUACAGCAGUUAGAAAAAAAUCUAUCAGAUGAUAAACCAGACAUCUCUGAUUAUCUAACACAAUCCCUGUUCAUAACUCCCCUUCUCUCUAGUUACCUUUCAGUUAGGUGUUAUCAUGUAAUGCAGUUUUGGCCAAUGAAAUGCAAACAGAAGUCUGAUGGAUAGGGAUUCUAGGAAAAAAGUUCAUGCUGUUGUUGUAAAUAAAUUUUCAAUGCUGCAAGGAAAUAGCACUCGAACAUAAAUUUAAUUUUCUCAGCAUGGCAAUUUUUACUUCUAUAGAAGGGUGCGAGUCGUGAAUGGAACAAUGGCAAGAGCACACCUGGACAGGAGAGGAGAAGGAGUUCUUAUUCCUGACACACGGCCCUACUGCUGUGGCGUUCCCCUAUUGGCUAGGGUUGGACCGCACAGCCUAAGCUAAUUCCGAUUGGCUAUUUUAAAGAGAGCAGGGAUAUGAGUUAGAGUGGCGGGGUGGGUAGUUUGGCGGGAAGGACAGUUAGGAACAGGGAACUAAAGGUGACUUAGAUCAGAGCAGGUGACCAGGGUGACUCAGGUCAAAGCAGGUGACUGGGAUGACUCAGGUCAAAGCAGAUAAACGGGAUGAGUCAGGAUGGAGCAGCUGACCAGAGAACAGAUGUGAACUACUGAUUAGGACUAGAGGGAAAGUUGUUUACUAAAACCAGGAGCAAGGGAACGGAAGAGAACCAGGAAGCUAAACUUUAAAAUGGAUAAUCAAAGAAUAAGAGAGCUGAACAUACUGACAUACUGAUUCUUUGAAGAGAAACUUGGGGUUCACUAUAAUUAACACUGUCUUGAUGAAAGAUGUAGAGUGCACCACUUUUUUUCUUUCUUUCUUCCCUCUUUCUUCCCUCUUUCUUCCUGCUUAUAGAAUUCCAUAGUGUGCAUCCACCUCAUUUAGCCUAUCCCUUCUUCCUGCAAUAGAUGCUUAGGUUGCCUCCAACUUCCUGUCACUAUAAAUAAUGCCAAAGUGAACACCCUCAUACGUAUCUAGUUGUGGACCCAUCGGGGUCUCUGAGAUCACUAGAUCACAGGGCACAUACACACUUACUGAGUGGAUACUCAGGUUGCACUCUGUUUCACCAUGUGUGCCUACCAGCAGUGCAUAAGAGUCUCCCUACGUCUUAGACAACACAUGUCAUUAUUCAGCCUUCUAAUGUUUGUCAAUCUGAUAGAACUAUAAAGCGAUAUUGCUAUUUUACAUUGAAUUUUUCUGAUUAUCAACAAGGUGAGCAUCUCUCCACAUGCCCUGCUGGCCAAUCUUGUUUUCCCUCCUGUGAAUUGACUGUUCAUGGCCUUUGCUCAGUAUUCUAUUGAAUUUUCCUAUCCUUUUCUUAUUGAUUUUUCAGGAAUUCUUUUAAUAUUCUAGAUAAUAAAGCCAUUGUCAGAUGGGUUAUAGAUGAGGCAACUGUACUAUAUAAACCCUUCUGUUAGCUUUAUCUAUGGUGACCUUCAUUGAAAUAGCUCCUGAAUUUUGAUAUGGUUAAAUUCACCAGAAUUUCUCCUUAUACUUUGUGUUCAGGGUCUUGUUUACUAAGAAUUUUCUACUCCAAGAUCACAAAGAUCUUCAUUUCUUUUAUUAAUCUUGCAGUUUUAUUUUUAAUAUUUAGUCUUUAAUUCAUCUGGAAUUCACUUUUAUAAUAUUGAAGAAAUAAUCUGUUAUAGACUAAAUUGUGUCUCCCUCAACCAACCCCAAUUCAUAUAUUGAAGCCCUGACACCAAAAAUGACUGUGUUUGGAGACAGGGCCUUUAAGGAGGUAAUUAAGGUUAAAUGAAGUUAUUAGGGCAGGAUAGGGCCCUAAUCCAAUAGAACUGUUGUCCUUAUAAGAAGAGGAAGAGACACCAGAACUCUCUCUCUCUGUGCCUGCACAAGAAAAGGACACGUGAGGACACAGUCAGAAGGUACCAUCUACAAGCCAAGGAGAGAGGCCUCUCUGGAGACCAAUCCUGCUGACACCUUGAUUUUGGAUUUCUAGCUUCCAGAACUGUGAGAAAAUACAUUUCUGUUGUGUAACCCAUCCAGCCUGUGUAUUUUGUUAAAGCAACCUGAACAGACUAAUAAAGGAUCCAACCUUAUUUUUUUCUCCAUUUAGCAAGAUAACUCCAUCUAUUAAACAAUUCUCUCU
RNAcentral lists this long non-coding RNA (3136 nucleotides) under Homo sapiens (human). RNAcentral describes it as "PREDICTED lncRNA (TCONS_00062403)". Lineage: Eukaryota; Metazoa; Chordata; Mammalia; Primates; Hominidae. The record is from RNAcentral.